CAGUUCGGAUUGUAGUCUGCAACUCGACUACAUGAAGCUGGAAUCGCUAGUAAUCGCGAAUCAGCAUGUCGCGGUGAAUACGUUCCCGGGUCUUGUACACACCGCCCGUCACACCAUGGGAGUUGGUAACGCCCGAAGCCAGUGACCCAACCGGAAACGGAGGGAGCUGUCGAAGGUGGGACCGAUAACUGGGGUGAAGUCGUAACAAGGUAGC
Molecule: ribosomal RNA, 214 nt
Filed under: uncultured bacterium
Lineage: Bacteria
Description: partial 16S ribosomal RNA
Rfam family: Bacterial small subunit ribosomal RNA
Source: RNAcentral